GUAAAGUCGGUCCUCAAUCCAACUUAAAGUAUUGCUCCUCUAGUCUCCACGCACGCCAAGAUUCCAAUUCCUGCAGCUCAGCUGCAUCAAUCUCUAUCAACCCACAAAAAUCAUGUGGUAAUAUCUUCAUUCUCUGAACAGUAUUGUUGAAAACUGUUUCGAGAGAUUGGAUAUGGAUGUUGACAUGAGCACCGCUAUUAAAAUAUGAUGAAACAAAUAUUCUCCUCCUUGGAGAAUAAGUCCAAGCAAGUAUAAAAAUUCUGGUCUCCCUUAACAAUAUACAAUAUACAGCUUUUUUCUAAUCAAAUCGACCCACCAAAGUUAAUAAUAACGGGUACAGGGAUACCAUCUGAUCUUAUUAUAUAUUGAAGGUUUGAUCUUUGUGUUGGUUGAGGUGAUCAAAUGAUGGUGGAGUUAUUUGUGCUGGGUUGUACAGGAAUUGUGGUGUUCCUUCACGGAGCCAACUUUUUCUUCCAUGUUCUUUCCCAGCACCUCGCCGUUCGUUCUCUCAGUUUUCUGGGAUUUGUUGGCUGGUAGACCAGAAGAAGAAGAGUAAGUAAGAGAUAGUUAAUUAGUUUCGUCACGCAAAAACCAAUGAAGAUGGAGCACAUUUGUAAAAUGAUUUAUGAAAUCUUGUAGAAGCUGGUACUGUCACUGGAGAAGCAACAAAAAUAAAAUGGAAGGAUUGAUGUAUUGAAAUUCAGGCACAACCAACCACUCUUGUUAUAUAUUGUAAUAAUCCUUUAAUCUUCUUGUUGCUUCCAUUAUUCCUUUUAAUAGAAUAAUAUGUUCGAUGUUUCA
This is a long non-coding RNA of Pistacia vera, 801 nucleotides long. RefSeq lists it as uncharacterized. The transcript has 2 exons. The record is from RefSeq and is a predicted model, not a curated record. NCBI's taxonomy places the organism in Eukaryota, Viridiplantae, Streptophyta, Magnoliopsida, Sapindales, Anacardiaceae.